CCUGCAGGAUAGUGUGUAUCGGCCUAAUGCAUUACUCUGUGCAUUUCUGCCGAAAGUGUUUCCUGCUAUAUCGAUCAGAGGAAAGUGGGCAGUUGGGUUAAUCAUAUUCAUGUUUUCUCCAACAAUCAUUUUCCUGCCAUUG
This is a non-coding RNA of Oryza brachyantha (malo sina), 142 nucleotides long. Lineage: Eukaryota; Viridiplantae; Streptophyta; Magnoliopsida; Poales; Poaceae. The record is from Rfam.